Podarcis muralis (Common wall lizard) is the source of this 1738-nucleotide RNA transcript. It is a transcript of the gene named coiled-coil domain containing 34, with no coding region annotated. The record is from RefSeq and is a predicted model, not a curated record. Lineage: Eukaryota; Metazoa; Chordata; Lepidosauria; Squamata; Lacertidae.
GGAGGGAGGUGCGGCCAAAGGCCUCGGAGGGGUGGAGGCCGGGCCGAGCAAGGCCUAGUAGUUGGUCCCUGGGGAGCUGAGGAGGUGGGAACAAAGAGGUUGAGUCCGGAGCUCCCUCAGGUGCGGAAGGCGGUCUUUGAGAAAUGCCCGCCGCUCAUUCUCACGUUCCUUCCUAGCAGGUCCGUGUCAGCGCCAUGCCCACCUCCGUGCCCCCAAGUAGCAGGCGGGGGGCAGCCUAUUCCACCCCACCCUCCCCUGCUAGCUCCGACGACGAGGGGGCCGGCAAGUCUUCCUCUUUCUCCCUGAUCUCUCCGAGUUUCCACGGAAGUUUCCACCGAACGAGGCAGGAGGAAGAGGCAACACCAGCUAGCAGGGGAUCAGGCAUCCCUCAAAGGAUUAAACAGCAUAGUGCAGACCAUUUUAAAGAUACAAAAAGGAAAACUCGGCCAAUUGUGGAAGAAAAUCUCUCGCCAUGGGAAGAGUGGUUCCUUUCCAAAGAGAAAGAGUUACGUGCUCGACUACAAGAACGAGCUAUGAAGGAGGUGAAUCAGGAAAAGGAGAAAAGGAGGGAAAAACAGGAACGCGAAAUAAAAAAAAAGCUGGCUGAAGAGAAGCACAAAGAAUGGGUCCAGAAAAAAAAUGAAGAGGUGAAAAGGGAAAAACGGGAAAGGGAACUUAAGCUCAGCAAAGAGAUGGCAGAAAAAGCAGCCAAAGAACUUGAGAGAGCACAAUCAAAGGAAAAGUCGCGAGAGAUGUAUCAGGAAUGGCUAAAGAAAAAGAAAAUGGAAGAAGGUCAGAAGAAGAAGGAAGAGAAGGAGAAGGAAAAACAACGGGAAGCUGAACUACAGGAGAAAAAAGAAAAAUCAGAGCAGAUGUUCAAAGAAUGGCUGCAAAAUUCCAAAACUAAGCCCCGCCAAGCAUCAGCUGGCUGUGCCUCUGCAGAUGGGAAAGAUACUGGCUAUCCAGAAGGAAGUACAUAUCCAGCUCCAGCCUUUUACAAUCCAGUCCCUUGGAAACCAGUUCAUGUGCCUCCUCCCAAGGAAGAAAAAGUUUCAGUCUCAACCAAAGUUCGCCUGUUUGGGAAUGAUGAAGACGUGCAUCGGACUUAAGGCUGUUAGUCACUAACUCCUCUGCUUCCCACAACAUAGCAUGCAUCAAAUAAAAAGAAGGCAUAGCACAGCAUUACAGACUAUUCGGCCUUGGUUGGUUGGAGUUUGCUACAAUUCAGCUGAACAGACAAAAGUUGGGAUUCUACUUCAACACACAGAUGAAGGGAUGGAAAGAUUUCGUCAUACUGGUCUGCAGAAUGUUCCUCUAAACUCAUCCCUAACAGCUUAGUUUAUUUUAUCCAGUUAAUGUGUGCUUCCCAGGUACAUUAUUCUUGCACUAAAAUACAGCUCAGUUGAUGCAAGCACAUCCUGAAAUGAAAGAAGGUGGUGCUCAGAUACCACCAUCUGGGCUUCCCCGCUCUUCCCAAUACUUGUAAAAUACGGAGGUGUAGGGAGCAUUUACAGUCUUACUGUUUCAAUAAGUGUGUGACUUAAUUCUGUCUUCUCCCUCAGAUUUCCUGAGGAGACAGGUACCUUAUUCUAUCUUAUCUGUAGAAUGUGUUGCAUCUGGAAAGAGGCCUGUGUAAAUCUCUAAAAAUUGCAGCUUCAGAACGAAAGCUCUUGCACAAUCUAAUCUGUAGCAUCACAAAUGCAAUUUUGUUCCCUCCUGAAUAAAGUUUUAGACAAGA